GAUGAACGCUGGCGGCGUGCCUAACACAUGCAAGUCGAACGGAGUCCAGCCUUUAAGGCCUUCGGGUCAAAGCGGGGAAGACUGAGUGGCGGACGGGUGAGUAACACGUGGGCAACCUGGCUCAUAGAGGGGGAUAACAGAGAGAAAUUUCUGCUAAUACCGCAUAAGCACACACUGCCGCAUGGCAGUGGGUGAUAAGAGAAUCGCUAUGAGAUGGACCCGCGUCUGAUUAGCCAGUUGGCAGGGUAAGAGCCUACCAAAGCGACGAUCAGUAGCCGAUCUGAGAGGAUGAGCGGCCACAUUGGGACUGAGACACGGCCCAAACUCCUACGGGAAGCAGCAGCGGGGGAUAUUGCACAAUGGGGGGAACCCUGAUGCAGCGACGCCGCGUGAGUGAAGAAGUAUGUCGGUAUGUAAAGCUCUAUCAGCAGGGAAUAUAAUGACAGUACCUGAAUAAGAAGCCCCGGCUAACUACGUG
Molecule: ribosomal RNA, 478 nt
Filed under: uncultured bacterium
Lineage: Bacteria
Description: partial 16S ribosomal RNA
Rfam family: Bacterial small subunit ribosomal RNA
Source: RNAcentral